Molecule: non-coding RNA, 148 nt
Filed under: Pan troglodytes (chimpanzee)
Lineage: Eukaryota; Metazoa; Chordata; Mammalia; Primates; Hominidae
Source: Rfam by way of RNAcentral
GCCGGGUGUGGUAGCGCACACCUGUAAUCCUAGCUGCUUGGGAGGCUGAGGCACGAGAAUCAUUUGAACCCAGGAGGCAGAGGCUGCAGUGAGCCAAGAUCACGCCACUGCACUCCAGCCUGGGCAACAGAGUGAGACUCUGUCUCAA